AUAUAUACAAAGCUGAAGUAUUAUAUUGAAUACCGACAACUACAAACUCCCCUGUGAUGAUCAUUGUCGUCAGAAAUAUUCACCUGGUUGAUUUUGAUAACUAACAAGACCAAAUAAAUAAUAUUUUAGCUUUCUGUGUAUAUUUAAGGACCAUUCCAUAUUACGUUUUCAUCAAACGUUAUGAAUUGUAAUCCAGUAUUAUGCCUAUUUUUAAUUCUUAGAAAGGUAAAAGGGAUACUUGAGUAGCAUAAAAUUGAGCAGUAACAGUUCUGUUAUGCUCUUAGAUAUCUAAUACCAUAUGGAGGCAACUAAGGUGGUUCUGACAAGUAUAAACAUUUGGUUAGAAAUAACUGAGCAGACAGUUUGAUCAUCGUAGUGUUUGGGGUCGGAGCUUCCAAUUAUUGAUUGUAAAUGAAGAGUGUUUAAUAAGUGUAUGUCAUAAGCUUGCGAUGAUUAUAUUCAUGCCCUUUAUUCAUGCAAUCCAUCGGUACUACUUAGUGAGUGGAUUAGUGAGGCCUCCUAGUAUAUCUGCUUCUCAACCUGUGUGGAGAUUAUAUAAUUUAACCGUUCAGAUAACGUAAAAGUUGUACCAAUAUUUCUGUAGUUGAAACUGAUAUGAUUAAUA
This 625-nucleotide non-coding RNA is filed under the name Schistosoma margrebowiei. Its description in RNAcentral is "Eukaryotic small subunit ribosomal RNA". It matches the Rfam family "Eukaryotic small subunit ribosomal RNA", at positions 1305 to 1831 of the family's 1831-position model. The record is from Rfam by way of RNAcentral. Lineage: Eukaryota; Metazoa; Platyhelminthes; Trematoda; Strigeidida; Schistosomatidae.